CUGCAGCCAGUUAAGCCAACCGUGCUGCCCUCCCCACGGUGCCCGGUGUGCAAUGGUUGCAAACAGCUGCCUCCUGGGUAGUGUGUGUGCCUGGUGCUUAUACAGGCUGCCCCAAAGGACCCUGGAAACAGCC
Erinaceus europaeus (western European hedgehog) is the source of this 133-nucleotide small nucleolar RNA. Its record names the gene SNORA70. It matches the Rfam family "Small nucleolar RNA SNORA70". Rfam says of the family: snoRNA U70 seems to be exclusive to mammals and is a member of the H/ACA class of snoRNA which contain H (ANANNA) and ACA box motifs. The record is from Ensembl. NCBI's taxonomy places the organism in Eukaryota, Metazoa, Chordata, Mammalia, Eulipotyphla, Erinaceidae.